Molecule: long non-coding RNA, 449 nt
Organism: Lycium ferocissimum
Lineage: Eukaryota; Viridiplantae; Streptophyta; Magnoliopsida; Solanales; Solanaceae
Exons: 3
Source: RefSeq, a predicted model, not a curated record
AACAUAUUGUCACAAUUUGAUUUUAGAUAGGCUGGGUUUAAAUUGUGUGAUGGCAUUACGACUUGUUUAAAUUUUUUACUAAAUAAACCGACCUUGAAAGUUAAAAAAACGUUCCAAUUUUAGUACAUACAGUAUUAUAUUUUCUUUGACUUGAUCCAAUUAUUUGCAACAUUUCAAAUAUUGUUUGACUGUCUAAUAUAUGUUUUAAAAGACUAAGUUUUUUUUUUUUUCCUUUAAAUUAUAGAAAACUCAAGCAUAGAAACGCAGAUGUUAUUUUCUGGUUAAGACAAAGGAGUCGUGAUGAAUUUUUAUUUCAUUUCACCAUUUUUUAAUAAAAAAUUAAAACUUUACAGUGCAAGAAUUUGUCUUUAUUGAGAGAACUAGAAGUUCAAAGUUUCAGGCACAAAUUCACAUAUUUUUGUUGGUUUUGAUGUCCUAUUUGUCAAUUG